Molecule: non-coding RNA, 24 nt
Filed under: Arabidopsis thaliana (thale cress)
Lineage: Eukaryota; Viridiplantae; Streptophyta; Magnoliopsida; Brassicales; Brassicaceae
Source: RNAcentral
AGUGUUUCGAGAAUAGCGUCUGGG